Molecule: ribosomal RNA, 410 nt
Filed under: uncultured microorganism
Description: bacterial SSU rRNA
Rfam family: Bacterial small subunit ribosomal RNA
Source: RNAcentral
CAGCCGCCGCGGUAAUACGUAGGGGGCGAGCGUUGUCCGGAAUUAUUGGGCGUAAAGCGCGCGCAGGCGGUCCUUUAAGUCUGAUGUGAAAGCCCACGGCUCAACCGUGGAGGGUCAUUGGAAACUGGGGGACUUGAGUGCAGGAGAGGAGAGCGGAAUUCCACGGGUAGCGGUGAAAUGCGUAGAGAUGUGGAGGAACACCAGUGGCGAAGGCGGCUCUCUGGCCUGUAACUGACGCUGAGGCGCGAAAGCGUGGGGAGCAAACAGGAUUAGAUACCCGGGUAGUCCACGCCGUAAACGAUGAGUGCUAAGUGUUAGAGGGGUCACACCCUUUAGUGCUGCAGCUAACGCGAUAAGCACUCCGCCUGGGGAGUACGGCCGCAAGGCUGAAACUUAAAGGAAUUGGCGGG